UCGCUGAAAGUCUACUUUCUUUUACGGGCACGGCGUGAGAAAGUAACCAAGCGGAUGAAAAUUCUCCAAAACCCUAUCCCUGGAUGUAAUAAAGGUGCAUAUUAAUCUCAACAAGAAGUCUAUAUUUUUUAUGUUUACAUUCUGUCCCACCAAUGUCUAGAUAUGUAUUGAAAAGUAAGGAUUAUAAAAUUCAAAUAAGGGGGAAAUAAGAGAAUAUACAGAGACCUCCACAUAUGAUAAAUAAUAUAAAGAUGUAGUUUCGAUGUUGUGUGGUGGUCCAGUAUCGCACCCUUUGGAAAAAAAAUCAGGGAGGUAUUUGGGUCCAAUCUGUAACAUCAAUCCAGUGUGGUAUAUCAUCCCUGCUUUCACCACCUGUACCAUUAAUCCAGUGUGGUAUAUUAUUGCUGCUUUGCCCAUCUGUACCAUCAAUUAUCAAAGAACCAACGGCCACAUUUCAUUGUUGAUUAACAGUGACUAAUUUAACUUGAGAUGCAAAUAACCCAUUGGUGUAACUGUAGUUCUAAUACCAAAGAUAGUCUCCGGUCAUGAUCAAGCAACCAGAGUUAUUCCGCUUAAGGGAAAUAAAUAACAUAGCAAAAAUAAAUAAAUAAAUAACAAUGUCCGUGCCUGCUUUGGGGCCGCAUCAUAAAUAUUUCUCUAAUGUAGAACACUCCAGUGGAGUCUAGUUUUACAACAACAGAGUGACCCAGGCAGUGUGCAAUAUUUGUGCAGGAAAACAGAGCUGAGUUUAGAUGUAGUAGAUGAUUGAUUACAAAACAACAAAAGAAUAAUAUACAUAAGCAAACCAGCAAAACGAAAAAUAAUGUCACAUACAACAAAAUUUGGCAACUUGCAAAGUCUCAAAUUCGAGGCAAUAUAUUAUUACUUGACUUAGUAUAAACAUAAUAAAGUUCAAUUGGUUACAUCGAAAGAUAGAGAUCUGUACAAGAACACCGAAGAGCACCAAAUUAUAUGUAGCAUAAGAGUAAAUCCCUGUCAUAUCUAAGAGCGAAGUUCAGCUUGUAAGGACUUCCUUAUAGACGAUGUUCUUCAUCGAGGUCUGUAAGGACAAGGCAGGUCUUUUUCGCUUAUUUGAUUUACUGCUUUGCUUCUUGCCAUUCUCCUUCUCCUUCUCCUUCUCAAUGAGGAUCUUUAUGUUGAUCUUCGCGGUGGCUCGAGACAAUGCAACAUAGAGUUGACCAUGAGAGAACACCGGAUUAGGUAGGUACACGCCAACGAUCGGAAUCGUCUGUCCUUGAGCCUUGUUAAUCGUCAUAGCAAAGCUAAGCCUUACAGGAAAUUGCUUCCUCUUGAACUUGAAUGGAAACAUGUCGUUGUCAGACGGGCAUAGGGGUAUUCGAGGAAGGAAAACCCUCCUACCCGCGUGUUGUCCAAUCACGAUUUCUGCGUCGAUGGCGUUCCUCUGGAAACCUCGCACCACAAGCCUCGUCCUGUUACACAGACCAUUAGCCGGAUCAAUGUUCCUCAGAAGUAUGACAGGGCAGUUGAGCUUCAGUUUGAGUGCAUGCGGAGGCAGACCGUUGGGAGUCAAUCCAUUUAGGAACUCGGGAGCGUAGUAGCCAUACGGGUCGUCUUCUGCACUGUCAAAGCUAUGGCAGAUUACUUCUUCUCCCCGAAAACGCUCUACCAUGCGUAUGUUUAUCUUGUCGACGUUGUCGUUUGUGGUGGAGAGGAUUGCGCGUGAAGUCAUGUAAUUCGGAUCGGACAUGUUGUCAUCUAGUCUCGGAAACACAUGGUCAAUCAGUUUCUCCAGGUUGUCACCCUCGCCUGUAGAUGGCACACAAAUAUCUUCAGGGAGUCGUAUGUUUCCUUGAUCGUCAACUUCCUCGGUUCCAUUGCCUACCCUUAGCAAGUAAUCCGCAAACCAGGUGUCAUUAUGAGCCCUCAUGUUGAUGACGAGCCUUAGCUGGCGCAUACCCUUCCAGAGGUGUGAACUUCGGAGGGUUGCAUCGAUUAUCUGACCCCGGGACCCCCUCCUGACGACCGGAAGCACCUGCCUGAAGUCCUUGCCAAACACAACAGUUUUUCCUCCAAAGGGUCGGUCCCGUCUUCCCAUGAUGUCGCGCAUGCUGUUGUCCAGUGCCUCGACCGCCUGUCGCUUAGUCAUGGUGGCCUCGUCCCAUAGUAUCAAUGAGGCCAUCCUCAGUAGCUUGGCGGUACCACUCUGUUUCGUGAAGGUGCAUGAGGCGCCAUCGUCGCAACUCAAUGGGAUCUUGAACCUCGAGUGGGCAGUCCUGCCUCCAGGCAUGAUAGAAGCGGCGACGCCUGAUGUCGCGGUAGCGAUAGCGAUGUUUCCCUCGCUUCGAACCUUGGCGAGCAGUGCCCUGUACAGGAAGGUCUUCCCUGUACCUCCCGGUCCAUCAACAAAGAACACACCCCCAUCACCGCGUUCAACAGAAGCUAGUAUCUCGUCGUAUGCAACCCUCUGCUCCGAGUUUAGCGACGAAGCCAAUUUAGUGUCGUUGAUGUCAAAAUUGACGUUGGAUUCCUCAAUCACUUCUCUGGCCUCGCCCUCGGUUGGGUCGAACGCAUCGUCAAUGCAUGGAAGAGCGAAAUCAGCUAUGUCUUUGCCCAUGGACUGCAACAUACCCCUAAUGUCAAGCAACACCAUCUGUUCCACCUCAAUCGGGCACGUGUGUGAUCGCCGAUAGUCAUCAGACAUAGGCUUGAAGUGCCUAUCCCAUAAACCACGCACGUCGCCUGGCUCACAGUGCACCAAAAUUGUUGCGAAGAGCCUCCUGAGCGAACAUGGCAUUGCCCACUGCUCUGCCUCGGUAAGACAGUCGUCGAGCGUGUUAUCUGCCUCGAUGAGUCCCAACCUUUCGACAGCCUCUCUAAAGCUCCCGCAUAGCCUACCGUCCACGGUGAGCAGGUCCUCAUAGGAUGUCUUGCCAGCAACAUGGUUUAGCAGCACACGCAGAUAGUAGCGCUCCCCCUCCGUAGGAUUGGCAGACACAAUUCGACCUAUCUGAUAACGCUCCACCCGCUCUUUCCAAUACUUCUUACCCUUCUGCCAUGUGAACCUUCCAGGAAAAUCCUUGUAUAAUAUAUUCCUAGCCCACGGAUGGUUUUGGUUAGCUUUGAAAUACUCUGUCAACAUGGAUUUGGAAGCUUUCUCAGAGGCGACUACGUCGGUCAAGUGAGCUUGCUCAUUGAAUGCCACCCUGUGCAUAUUCGGGAGAUGAAGAGGCAACUGUAGGACAGGCGGGUCAUUGGCACAUAAGGGGAAGCCAAAUAUCCUCCACAUCGCCUCUGGAGGAGUAACCCACCUCGCGUCUACGUAUCUUUUGAUCUCAUCAAUGUUACCAUCGGCGUCUGGCUGGUCGAUGCUGAAAGAAGCCCUAUCAUGGCCCUUGUAUAUGUACUUGUAAAGGUAUUUGACGGCCUUUAUGCUGGAGCAAACCUCAACGUUGAUGUGGCAAUUGAACAUCCGCAGAAGGUAAGGGUUAUACGGCACAACCCAUCUGUUGUCCAACAUUUUACCCCGGACCUUAGCCUGCCGACCAUUAUCUCGACGACAAUAAACAGGGUAUGAGUCCUUGCCUUGUGCCGUGUUUUCAUUGAACGGCCGCGGGUAUCUGCACUUGCACUCGUUUUGUUGCAUGCAAACAUUUUUGGGGUUGAGAGCACCGCAUGGUCCGUGCAUCAUAUGUUUCACCACCAAGGCGUGGAGUUCAGGAUACUUUUGCUUGUCUGGGAGCUCGGCAGAAAUGAGUCAGUCGUACUGCUCCGGAACGACAAGCUUAUAGGCAGAGUCCAUGAUCAUCAAAAAGUGUGUGUGGGGGAGGCCCCUCUUUUGGAACUCGACUACGUAUACAUGUGCGACAACACCCAGGAUAUUCUUCUUGAACAACAUCUCUUUCAUAGCCUCUAGCUUGCCAUGGAACACACGAGCCACAAGAUCAGGUCGGUCUUGCGCAGUCUGGCCAGGAAACAACUCAUUUGUUAUCUCUUCCCAAUUAGGGUUGCAGGUCAUGGUCAAGAAGAUGUCAGGCUUCCCGUAGGUAUGGACAAUUGCCAUGGCAUCCAUAUGCCUCCGCUUCAUGUCACGGUCGCCACCUGGGUACGUUCCAGGGAGCACUAUCCUUACUCCAACAGCGCUUGCCCGGGUCUCCCCGGAUGUAAUUGCAUCAACAACUCCUUUAUACAGGUCGGCACGGAUCUUUGUCUGGUUCUUCCUGUACCAUUUCAACCUACAACUCUCAAUCUUGAUGUACAUGUCCACCCCCCAUUGCUGGAGCAAUCGUGCUCCACAGAGUAUGGGAUUGAAUAUCCCAGGUCGUGUCUGGAGCAUGUAACAGUAGUAGUCUCUCACCGAGAUGCAUAACCUGCUAUUCCACUCUGCACAUGGAUGAGUAACGCGGACAUUAGGAUUCAUAUGAGAAGUAUACAAUUCAUCUAAACGACAGAAUACGCAUAAGGCUUACCUGCGUCCUCAUCAUCACCAUCAUCACCUCUACCUCUUGGUUGUUGCACAACCGGCCAAGGGACAUCACGUUUAGGAAGUUUCGGGUGCCAACCGAGCUCCCCCCUUGGGUAGAGGCGUGGGUAAGAGAGAGGGUCAUACGAGCCAGCCGUCACAUGUAUACUGUGCCUCUGGUUGUCAUUCCCACAAAGUGUAAUCCUACGAUCGAACCUCUUCGCUAGGUCAGUGCCCUCCACCCAAAUUGCAGCGACCUCAGAUGACAGAGGUCUAUUAUACUUCCGUUGGUCUAGUCUCUGGUCAGUGUUGAGGUCUAUCCUGUAAUUGUCGAGGUUGUCCCUGUGUGCACCCAAACUCCUAAACUGCUGGGAGUACGGGUUUUCCCUGAGUAUGUCCACUAACUUACUGACGACAUCUUGGUCUAAUUGCUCGGUGGCAGCCUUGCGAUGGGUUAGGCCUGGGUCGUCGUCGUAGAAGUACAAUUGUAGAUGAUCUGGACGUGAUGUUGGCCCGAAGGAAUGAACGUUGUGGUAGAUGGUGCCGUGCGCCCGGAAUGUGUACACCCCAGACUUAAUGUUUGUGUAGCUUUCAUCAAGGCUGACGCCGAGGGUUGUGAAGGAGAAGUGGCCGUUGAAGAACCGUAUGUUCUCCCGAAAAUGCCUUGAGUCCGCAUCCAUGCUAGACCAAAGCCUCAUUAGCUCCGGGAUGGGCUCUGGUUGCUUCAGCUGGAUCUGCCCACUACGACAGCAGAAUCCCGGGGCCUCGGACACAAACUUCUUGGCUUUGCAGUGAUCGCAAUUUGCGGCAUGCUUCAGGAUGUGUGUGUGGUCUGGGAGGUUUGAGUAGACAUAGUCUAAUGGAUCAUGGUCGACAUAGGUAUUGUGACUUGAGUCUUCCAAUUCGUCGUGCUCCAUGUCAUCAGCAUCUGAGCCUGCAAACAAUGUUUAUAAUUAGUGUGAUAUUUCAAACGGGCGAGCUGCUCAAGUGGGUGUACAUACCUUCACCAGCAAACAGGUAAUACUCAUCGUCAAAGAGGCUAUCAGGGUUGACAUUAUCAUUCAUGAAAUGACUAAGGCAAGCGUCCAUGUCGUCUGCUCAGGUGCGAAACCAAUAAAUGAGGGUUUAGUCUCAAGGGACGCAAGGAGAGUAAGGAUGGGAGUGUUACCUUCACUUCUGAUCGUGUACUCCGGCGUGCUAGAUGAGGUCGAGGCACCGUGUGCUUCCACUACGGUAGGUUGUCCAGUUGAGCUCAUUUCCGGUAUGAAGAUGGACCUGACAGUUGGGGUCAUCACCCUACCUGCAAACCUUUCAUUACGCCGAUCGCGUAGAGCAUUCCUCUCACCAUGCGGUACCUGCGUACAUGUUUUUUGCUUGCCAAUUUUCUGCUGACGCUUCUUUGCCGCCAUACCUCCCUUGCAAGCUCGCUCUCUCCUCCCACGCGCUGCUCUGGACUCAUGACUCUGCUUGUCCACUCCAUUAUCCGCUAUUGUUACCGGAUCACUGGCUUGCUGGUCGGCAUUUUGUAGGUGCACAUUGAUUUCGAUGAGGUUGCCAUGUAUAGCACCAUCACCGAAGGUUCUGCUUAGAUAUGCACCUACAACAUCAUCGAAUCAUUAUUUAUAUAUCAUGAAUGAUUACAUGAUGAAAGAUGAUGGUUGAUAGGAUAUGUACCAUCGGUUUCGGUGUUGCGAAUGUAUGUGGGGGCCACAUUGACCGUAGGAGCAUGAUCUAUUUGUUCACUGUCGAAUUGUUGCGUGAGGACUGAAAGUGCGAGAGUCGGACAAUGUGUGUGAGGGUUGGACAAUGUGCUAGUUAAAUUUGGACGUGGCAUUGCGAUCGAUUCAGCACACGGCGUGUUUUUCUUUGCAGCAUACUUUGCCUUUCUCUUUGCACUUGACUCCCCCCUUUCAUCCUCAGUCAUGGUUUUAGGGUGUUGCACGCGCCAUUCUUGCAACUUCUGAUUUUUUUCUUGAAGAUCGAUCGUUCCGUCACCCACUUUUUUCCGAUAACUUGCUCGCCUUCGCGCGUUUCUCUGCUCAAUUUGCUUGUCUGUUAAGUCACAAUUGUGUUCUUUAUCAGUCUGUUUUUCAUCUAGUUGCUUGUUGGCUGCCUCCUCUUUUUUCUUUCGAUAAGCAGCUCUCCUCCGAGCCUUUAUUUGCUCUUUUUCUCGUCAAGGUCCACCGAGAAUGGUUGACACCCAUUAGUGAUAUCACCGAGAGGUAACAGGGGAACAUUUUGCAUAUCUGCACGGAGGGUUUAGGGUCUUCAUUGUUCAAGAAGAUUUCAUGUACUACACAAACGCUUACUUUAUAUAUCUGCACGGUCUAGUUAAACAAUGAUGUAUUGCUAGAUGUAGUUGGGGUGGUAUCAUCGAGAGGUAACAGGGGAACAUUUUGCAUAUCUGCCCAGGGCUAGUUGAAGCUACUUCUUAAUCUAGGUUUAUUUUUUAUAGAAUCCCUCCGUGUCCAUACAUAAAGUCUAUAUGUACUCAAAAGUCGUAUGUCUGCCCUAUAUCAAAUUGAACCUAAAUGAUCAGGAAUUGUGUUGGUCAAUUAUUUUUAUUCUAUAUUCUUGGUCAAUUAUUCGUGGGGUUGGGGUGAGGAAACAUGUGUCGCCUACAUUAUUCACUAAGAAAGUAUACAUACGGUCAUCAUAAACAUAAUCAUCCUUACCUGAUAUCGUAAGGCCAGUCAGAUUUUCAUCUUGUUGCUUGCUGGAUUCCUCCUCUUUUUUCUUUCGAUAAGCAGCUCUCCUCCGAGCCUUUUUUUGCUCUUUUUUCUCGUCAAGGUCCACCGUGGUUUGUUGACACACAUUAGUGAUAUCACCGAGAGGUAACCCACCCACAUUCAGCAUAUCUGCAUGUGAAAUGAUAAUCACAUUAUGUUGUGGAAUGGAGGGAGUAUAUAUAAUAUCAUCGCAGUGCCUUCCCAUAAAGCAUUCUUACCUGAUAUCGUAAGGGCAGACAAAUUUUCAUCUUGUUGCUUGACGGUAGCCUCCUCUUGUUUCUUUCUAUAAGCAGUUCGCCUCUGAGUUUUUAUCAACUCUCUUUUUUCCUCAAGGUCCACAGAGGGUGGUUGAUCUGCAUUAGUGAUAUCACUAUGAGGAUGGCGUGGAACAUUAUGCGACCUCUCUUCCCAACUGUCACGUUGCAUGCUACCUAGUUAUUUUGUCAGAUUACUGAGAGCUGGCAACGAAUCUACAUUAUAUAGGAAUGAGAUUGGAGGGUUGUCUGCAUGAUCUGCAUUAGUGAUAUCACUGUGAGGAUGGCGUGGAACAUUAUGCGACCUCUCUUCCCAACUGUCACGUUGCAUGCUACCUAGUUAUUUUGUCAGAUUACUGAGAGCUGGCAACGAAUCUACAUUAUAUAGGAAUGAGAUUGGAGGGUUGUCUGCAUCAUGUUAACAUAAAUAUAUAUUGGACCGAAAUAAGGCAAAGUUGUAGGCACAUGGUCUUAACAUUUCGGCAACAUAAUACUUACCCGAAAUCAGAUGGGAAGGUUGAUGAACACAUGUCCUUUCACAAUCGGCCUGUUCAAGAAUCACCCAGUCCGAGUGAGUAAUAUGGGCUCCUACAAGUCACACGCUUGAUCCUUUAGAAUCGGUUCUGCCCAAGUCUGUUAGGUAUGAUUUAUCACAUAAAAAGCAUAAAAGCAAUAUCAGUAUAUAUGCACAGCCUUAAUACUGGACUACUUGGGUAAUUCUUGUGAACAUCGUCGACUCCAGGUAUAACCCCUUCGUUAGAGUCGUCACCAUUUGGCCCCUCCAUCGGGCCUGCAACAUCUCCUGUGAUGGUGUUUGACAUGUAUAACAAAAUAUGUAGCUGAACAUAUAUAUGGAGGUAGAUAUAUACCUGGAGUAUCAUAUGUGCUAUCACCAUCGGUCUCAAGUAUCAUACGUUCGGAGGGAGUAGUAUGGACUCCUAGAAGUCAAGAUGUUGAUACAUUAGAAUCGGUUGUGCCCAAGUCUAUUAGGUAUGAUUUUUCAACUAAAAAGGAUAAAAAUAAACCUUAUACCUGUACUACGUGGGUAAAUUUUGUCAACAUCAUCGGCUACGGGUAUAAUCCCUUCGUUAGAGUCAUCAACACUUGUCCCCUCCAUCGGGCCUGCAACACAUAUAUAGUUGAACAUAUAUAUGUUUGACUUGUGUAGCACAAUUUAUAGGUGAACAUAUACCUGGAGGUACAUGUGAUGAAGUCGUCUGUUCCGCUGGCUUGCUGUGUGGAGUCCCCAUAUGUAACUAAUAAAAAAAAGACAUGUCCAACAGACUCAGGUACAUAGCAAAAACUUGUAAACUGACUCUGCAAGCAGAUCACGUGAAAUACCAACAGUACUAAAGGCCCGUUCCCAUUGUACAGAAAUCCAGUCCAUACGGGCAGAUUGUUACAGAUUUAUGAGUUUUGCUAUAUAUAUAUGAAAAUAGAAAGACAUGUCCAACGGACUUUGCUACUUUCCAUUUGUUUGUAAACUGACUCUGCUGGAUACAAGUUAAGAAUUCAAGAUGCUAAGAUGUCCUGUUCAUCUGACCGCAGGCAGAUGAAGGCCGUCGAAGAUCACAAGCGCAGCUUGCUAUUGUACAGGUUUAGAAUUUAGAAAGGUGACCUAUUUUUUCAUGUGAACUUACCUAUUCUUUGCUAUUCAGAAUGAUUAUUUAUCUUCCCAUUGCUGUGUUAAUUGAUUCAUAUGCGGUUCUGCUAUUCUGACAAGGAUAUCCAUCAAGGUUAUUUGGAGGGACAUAAUGAAACGUCACAAGUUCUACUUUGCUGAUUCUUUCAGAGAAUUGUUUCAUUACAAAUGCGCUGUCGCGGACAUGUAUUAAUCCCAAAUUCCAAAUCACUCUGGAAUCCAGUCAAAAUCCAGUCAAAAUCACUCUGGAAUCCUUCUCCGUAAUUGAUUCGCAAACUACUCUCAAGGACUGCUCUGAACCUCAAAUAUCGUGGGCACAUGAAGUUGUGGUGUGAUUUUUACAGAAACAAGUGAUCCAGGCAGCAAGGUAUUGAUUGAUGCAACUAUGUUGUAAUGUUUCAGUGACUGUUAAUAUUUUUUUAGGAAGGAUAACCAAUUUAGAUGAUACCCAAGGAGUUCUGGAUGGGAGAUUGUUUAUUUCUACGUCGUGCAAUUCAACAUUUCAGUACUAAAAGUAUUUUUCAUGUUAUCUAGAUUGGGGUACAUCCUUUGUAAACUAAUAUGAGGCCUUUUAGGUCACGGAAGUAGUGACCUAAAAGCUCUUGUUUACAGAGGGGUUUGAUUUGUGAGGUCCGAGCGCGGGCAGCGGCCGGCGGUGGAGGUGGAAAAAGAAGUCUGGCAUGGGUUGAUUUAGUUUGAACACGAAUCCAUCAGGAUCGCCCUGAUCUGUACACGUAGACAUAACAAACAAACAAAACAUGUGUGUUCAUACCUGGGGUUGAAACCGUACAGCGUCGCCGAUCGCACGUUCCGUGGCGGCGCGUGAUCCAAAAACUGCCAGCGAUCCAGAAACGUGGCGGCGACAGUCGUUCCGCGGCGGCGGUGCUGUGGAGUGCGCAGAUCGCACGACGGCUGCGCAGAUCUGAUCGGCAGCGGGGUAUGGGGAUUGGCGGCGGGGUAUGGGGCAUGGGGAUCCUGAUGGGCGGCAGGGCGCAGUUUCUUUGGCUACCUGCGUGGGUGGGGUUCGGUGUGUGGGUGUGGGGGUGGGGGUAAUUUGAUGGAAUAAAAACCAGACGAAAAAAACCGGUUGACUCUGCUGGAUACAAGUUAAGAAUUCAAGAUGCUAAGAUGUCCUGUUCAUCUGACCGCAGGCAGAUGAAGGCCGUCGAAGAUCACAAGCGCAGCUUGCUAUUGUACAGGUUUAGAAUUUAGAAAGGUGACCUAUUUUUUCAUGUGAACUUACCUAUUCUUUGCUAUUCAGAAUGAUUAUUUAUCUUCCCAUUGCUGUGUUAAUUGAUUCAUAUGCGGUUCUGCUAUUCUGACAAGGAUAUCCAUCAAGGUUAUUUGGAGGGACAUAAUGAAACGUUACAAGUUCUACUUUGCUGAUUCUUUCAGAGAAUUGUUUCAUUACAAAUGCGCUGUCGCGGACAUGUAUUAAUCCCAAAUUCCAAAUCACUCUGGAAUCCAGUCAAAAUCCAGUCAAAAUCACUCUGGAAUCCUUCUCCGUAAUUGAUUCGCAAACUACUCUCAAGGACUGCUCUGAACCUCAAAUAUCGUGGGCACAUGAAGUUGUGGUGUAAUUUUUACAGAAACAAGUGAUCCAGGCAGCAAGGUAUUGAUUGAUGCAACUAUGUUGUAAUGUUUCAGUGACUGUUAAUAUUUUUUUAGGAAGGAUAACCAAUUCAGAUGAUACCCAAGGAGUUUUGGAUGGGAGAUUGUUGUAGGGGUACGUAGCAGAAAAUAAAAUUUUUCCUAUGGUUUCACCAAG
Molecule: long non-coding RNA, 10834 nt
Filed under: Triticum aestivum (bread wheat)
Lineage: Eukaryota; Viridiplantae; Streptophyta; Magnoliopsida; Poales; Poaceae
Description: long non-coding RNA (TAES_LNC005096)
Source: RNAcentral